CUGGCCGUUUAAGCGACAGCAUUUUUCGCGUUCUAUACAGAAAUGUGUUUUCUUUUGCAGCACACCUACAUGUUUGCCAUUCCAUUUGACUGCUACUCCUUCUCCCCUCCCUCUCUCGCUUUGUGUCUCUCCGUCCCUAUCCAGUGCUCCCCCUCACUCACUCACUCUCUCUCUCUCUCUCUCUCUCUCUCUCUCUCUCUCUCUCUCUCUCUCUCUCUCUCUCUCUCUCUCCCUCUCUCUUCCCUUUGCCCGCUCAUCGCUGUUAAAUCAGAAGUGGAACCUGAGUAGAUUACUCGGAUCCAGGUUGAGGAUUGUGAUACUUCAGAACCUGAAUACCUUUAAUUUCGGUUUACAGCGUUGAACAGAAUACAAGCGACAUAUUGGAUAUUAACAAGUUGGGUUCCUCGGUCUCCUUUGUUUCCCUCCAGCGCUUGUAGCUGCUGGACCAUUGGAUGUACGUCACUGUAGCAGCAAGGAGAACCUAGGAAUGUCACCUGAGAGGCAAAGUGAGGUGGAUCCUGUUCAAUGACAAAGACAGCAGAUGAGCCUAGUUCACCUGUUCCUCUUGGACGGCCACAGGGAUGGAUGCUGUGAGGAACCUGGCUCUUGGGCUCCACCUUGAUAUGAUUCUCUAAGGGAGAAUAUGACUGCAGCAGCACUUCACUCAGUGCUCUGACAAGGACCUAAGUGUAGAAGCUAUGGCCUGCACCAACCUCACUCCUGCAGCAAAUGGUGCAUCCUCUGAUCCCCUAUCGUAAACAGAGCUUCAGCGUUGAGAAACAAGAGGAGCAAACAAGGCUGAACUCUAGAGCUUAAGGGGGGAUCGUUGUUGGAUCAGCAGUGAUUACGAAUUAAGUGAUGUUGUCCGUAAGCACAUUAGGUUAUGAUUAGUGAGGGCCGGUGAGAGCAGAGUGCUACACCUCUGAGGACUGUUGUGGAGCCGGCAUGCUAGUGAACUCUCCAGCGCCACGGAUCCUUACCUGUUCCAGUCGGGUUAAUAUGAUAUGUGAUGCUACAGUUGGGACAUUGAUAGAAGCCUCUCACUAUGACAAGUACCUCUGAUAAGAUUGUUUUGAGGACACACACACACAAAAUAUUUAGCUAUUUUGCAAACUACCAAUAUCCAGAGGCACAUUGUGAUUCCUCAAGUGAGUUGUUUUCUCAUUGCUAAAGUAGAUGAAUGCAUUAAUUGUAUUUUGCUACAGUGUAUAAAGAUAUUCAUAUUGAAUACUGAAACAAUUUAUAUGUUAAACAUAUGUAUAUGUGUUUUAUACACCUGUGAUAAUGACACAGCACCAAAUAUUAUGGAAGCCAUAAACAAUGGAAAAAACAGAUUGAAAUUAAAUUUGUUGUACAGAUUGUGAAAUUGUUUAUUAAAUGCUUUAAUAUGAGAGUUGAUGGUAUUUCUCUAGUUUGUGUCUUUUGAACUGAGCAAUGUAAAUGUGAUGCAUGUUCAAAUUAGAAAUGCAAAUAAUAAGAUUACAUACUGUGAAAGAGAGUGAUUCAUUACCAGUGGCAAAUAGACAGUCUGUGUUCCUUGUUGUAUGGAAAACACACUAAAAACAUUCAAACACAUCA
Oncorhynchus kisutch (coho salmon) is the source of this 1578-nucleotide long non-coding RNA. RefSeq lists it as uncharacterized. The transcript is spliced from 2 exons. The record is from RefSeq and is a predicted model, not a curated record. NCBI's taxonomy places the organism in Eukaryota, Metazoa, Chordata, Actinopteri, Salmoniformes, Salmonidae.